RNAcentral lists this transfer RNA (84 nucleotides) under Podarcis lilfordi (Lilford's wall lizard). Its description in RNAcentral is "tRNA.Ile". The record is from RNAcentral. Lineage: Eukaryota; Metazoa; Chordata; Lepidosauria; Squamata; Lacertidae.
GCAUGCAUAGCUCAGUUGGUUGAAGCACGGUACUGAUAAUGCCAAGGUUGCAGGUUCGAUCCUUGUAUAGUACAACUGCAUAUU